UUUUACAAUGGAGAGUUUGAUCCUGGCUCAGGAUGAACGCUAGCUACAGGCUUAACACAUGCAAGUCGAGGGGAAACGGCAUUGAGUGCUUGCACUCUUUGGACGUCGACCGGCGCACGGGUGAGUAACGCGUAUCCAACCUUCC
RNAcentral lists this ribosomal RNA (145 nucleotides) under Acinetobacter baumannii. Its description in RNAcentral is "partial 16S ribosomal RNA". It matches the Rfam family "Bacterial small subunit ribosomal RNA", at positions 1 to 130 of the family's 1533-position model. The record is from RNAcentral. Lineage: Bacteria; Pseudomonadati; Pseudomonadota; Gammaproteobacteria; Moraxellales; Moraxellaceae.